UCGUGAAUACACAAGAGAAUCUGCAGAUGGCUCAUUAGAUCAGUUAUGGUUUAUUGGAGAACAGUCACUUGCCAUGGAUAACUGUGGUAAUUCUAGAGCUAAUACAUGCGAUUAAGCGCCGACCCUCCGGGGGAAGCGUGCUUUUAUUAGGAACAAGGCCAGCUCGGUUCCCCAGCGAUGGGGGCCGGUCUCCGCUGGUGAACUCUAGAUAACUUCGCCGAUCGCACGGUCUCGCACCGGCGACGCUCCCUUCAAAAGUCUGCUCUAUCAACUUUCGAUGGUAAGUUAUCUGCUUAUCAUGGUUGUGACGGGUAACGGAGAAUCAGGGUUCGAUUCCGGAGAGGGAGCCUGAGAAACGGCUACCACAUCCAAGGAAGGCAGCAGGCACGCAAAUUACCCACUCCCGACACGGGGAGGUAGUGACAAAAAAUAACGAUACAGGCCUCUUCGGAGGCUCUGUGAUCGGAAUGAGUACACUUUAAAUCCUUUAACGAGGAUCUACUGGAGGGCAAGUCUGGUGCCAGCAGCCGCGGUAAUUCCAGCUCCAGCAGCGUAUAUUAAAUUUGCUGCAGUUAAAAAGCUCGUAGUCGGAUUUCUGGCCGGGGCGGGCGGUCCGCCGCGAGGCGAGCACUGCCCGUGUGUCGGCCUUAACGGGCCCGGCACUCUCUCCGGCCAGUGAUUCGGUCGGUCGUGCGGUGCUCUUAGCUGAGUGCCGUGCGAGGCUGAAACGUUUACUUUGAGAAAAUUAGAGUGUUCAAAGCAGGCCAAAGUGCCCGAACAGCUCAGCAUAGAAUAGUGGAAGAGGACCUCGGCUCGUUCUAUUUCGUUGGUCUCUGGAACCUGAGGUAAUGAUCAAGAGGGACUGCCGGGGGCAUUCGUAUUGCGGCGUGAGAGGUGAAAUUCUUGGAUCGUCGCAAGACGCCCGACAGCGAAAGCAUUUGCCAAGAAUGUCUUCAUUGAUCAAGAACGAAAGUCGGAGGAUCGAAGGCGAUCAGAUACCGCCCUAGUUCCGACCAUAAACGAUACCGACCCGUAAUUCGCCGGCGUUCCUCCCAUGACGCGGCGGGCAACUCUCCGGGAAACCAAAGUCUUUGGGUUCCGGGGGAAG
This 1108-nucleotide ribosomal RNA is filed under the name Afrocucumis africana. RNAcentral describes it as "SSU rRNA". It matches the Rfam family "Eukaryotic small subunit ribosomal RNA", at positions 69 to 1123 of the family's 1831-position model. The record is from RNAcentral. Lineage: Eukaryota; Metazoa; Echinodermata; Holothuroidea; Dendrochirotida; Sclerodactylidae.